Pseudopipra pipra is the source of this 288-nucleotide long non-coding RNA. RefSeq lists it as uncharacterized. The record is from RefSeq and is a predicted model, not a curated record. NCBI's taxonomy places the organism in Eukaryota, Metazoa, Chordata, Aves, Passeriformes, Pipridae. The transcript has 4 exons.
CCUUUCCCCCUGCACUGGUGUCCCCAACUUGCCUGGGAGCCGCAAUCCCAAAGAGCCCCGCUCAGCCCGGGGGGCAGCCGGGGCUGGAGGGGGUGGGGACACCCGUGUCCCCCCCAGCCCCACAAGGCCAACCCCAACCAAGCCUUUGCUCUCCUCCUGCAGCCCGUUCAGGCCGGCGGCGUCCAAUGUGGGGAGGCAGGCGGGAUCGGCGGCCCGCCAAUCUCGGGACAAGGAGGAGGUGGAUGUGUCGGGGGAGGCAUGGAUGUCCAUCGAGUGAAGAGGUCUGAG